UACGUAGGUGGCAAGCGUUGUCCGGAAUUAUUGGGCGUAAAGCGCGCGCAGGCGGUCCUUUAAGUCUGAUGUGAAAGCCCACGGCUCAACCGUGGAGGGUCAUUGGAAACUGAGGGAACUUUGAAGUACAGAAGAGAAAGAGCGGAAUUCCACGUGUAGCGGUGAAAAUGCGUAGAGAUGUGGAAGGAACACCAGUGGCGAAGGCGGCUCUUUGGUCUGUAACUGACGCUUGAGGCGCGAAAAGCGUGGGGAGUCAAACAGGAAUUAGAUUACCCG
This 276-nucleotide ribosomal RNA is filed under the name uncultured bacterium. RNAcentral describes it as "partial 16S ribosomal RNA". It matches the Rfam family "Bacterial small subunit ribosomal RNA", at positions 524 to 789 of the family's 1533-position model. The record is from RNAcentral.